UGACAUGCAGAAGCUGUACCAGUGACACCUGUCACCCCAUAGCUCACCUGGACUGAUUUGGCUAAUCUAGCUGGCUAUGCAUGUUGUUCCUUCCUCCCUCAAUGUCCUGUGUAUAUCCUUCCUGAAGCUGCAUGCUUGGGUGAAGAGGAAAACUUCCCAAGAUAGGGGUUGAUCAUUCUCGGGUCACAGUUACAAGUAACUGUACUUCCCUCCUAGAACCUCCAAGCAAGUCUGCUAAGGUCCAUGUAAGGUUCUGCAAUCAAAUGGAAAGAUUAGGGCAAUAUCUACUUGAAACAUUGCCUAAUUACAAAGUUGUAAGCUUCAGUGU
This 328-nucleotide small nuclear RNA is filed under the name Peromyscus maniculatus bairdii (prairie deer mouse). RNAcentral's name for it is "7SK RNA (ENSPEMG00000028572.1)". It matches the Rfam family "7SK RNA". From Rfam's summary of the family: 7SK was discovered as an abundant small nuclear RNA in the mid-70s but a possible function has only recently been suggested. Two independent studies have found that 7SK RNA binds the CDK9/cyclin T complex (known as elongation factor P-TEFb). The record is from RNAcentral. Lineage: Eukaryota; Metazoa; Chordata; Mammalia; Rodentia; Cricetidae.